GGGCAGGUGGCUCAGUGGUAGAGUGCUUGCCUUGCAUGCUCGAGGCCCUGGGUUCGAUUCCUCAGCCCCA
This 70-nucleotide transfer RNA is filed under the name Dipodomys ordii (Ord's kangaroo rat). It matches the Rfam family "tRNA". From Rfam's summary of the family: Transfer RNA (tRNA) molecules are approximately 80 nucleotides in length. Their secondary structure includes four short double-helical elements and three loops (D, anti-codon, and T loops). Lineage: Eukaryota; Metazoa; Chordata; Mammalia; Rodentia; Heteromyidae. The record is from Rfam by way of RNAcentral.